This 366-nucleotide long non-coding RNA is filed under the name Trifolium pratense (red clover). Its description in RNAcentral is "long non-coding RNA (TPRA_LNC001666)". Lineage: Eukaryota; Viridiplantae; Streptophyta; Magnoliopsida; Fabales; Fabaceae. The record is from RNAcentral.
GGUCAGUGGUGAUGGAAAUUCUAUGAGUAUAGGAGAAUCAUCUGGUAGUGGUGGUGACCCCUGCAAAAGCUUGACCUCAAUAUCAAUGGAUUCAAACAAUUCAAAUGGUUGCAACUCUGACAUUUCAUGUCAUGAUGACGAUGAGGAUGCGAAUGAUGAUGAUGAUCCGAUUGAUGAUGAUGCGAAUGAUGAUGAUGAUCCGAUUGAUGAUGAUGCGAAUGAUGAUGAUGAUCCGAUCGAUGAUGAUGCACUUGAAGAUCCUGAUUAUGACUCUGAUUAUUAUGAUGAUGACAUCUAUGAAGAUGACUAUUCAUUUAUGCAGGAUCAAUUUGACAAUGCGGAUUUGCCGCCGGGGGUAGAAGCAUC